This is a long non-coding RNA of Corapipo altera (White-ruffed manakin), 778 nucleotides long. RefSeq lists it as uncharacterized. Lineage: Eukaryota; Metazoa; Chordata; Aves; Passeriformes; Pipridae. The record is from RefSeq and is a predicted model, not a curated record. The transcript is spliced from 3 exons.
CACGGCCCCCUGGGGCGCUGACAGCACCACUGCCGCGCUGUCACAGCAUGACCACCGGCCCCACGCCGCGACAGCUGCCUGGUGCAAAGAGCCUUCACCCAUCAGCCGAGUGUUGUUUAAGUCUUAAACUUAUGUGUGCUGUAACCAGAUUCUUUUAUUCAGCCUGACGAAAAAUAUUCUGUUUGAUGUUUUCACAGACAGCAUCUUAAGGCGUUACUUCGAUGACUUCUCUAGCGCUGCCCUUUCCGAAGUCAUUAUUACUCAUUAGGUAUAUUGUGCAGAAAGCAAAGUAGGUCACGGAUGAAAAGCCCCAUCUUAGCGAGAGGCACCGAUAUUGCACAAAGCUAUUUUCAACUUUCAUGAGAUAAAAAAUGUUUUCUGUAGGAUGAAAGCUGUCACUGCCAACUUACAAAUGAAUGCCAAAUGUUUCUGAGAACUAAUGUAUCAUGAAGGAUUUCCAAGGAUUUUCAGGCUGCAGCAGAUUUCUUAACCACUGACUCUGAAUUUCCUCAAAUGGACUUUUCAAGACAUCCUUGAAUUCAGCCAUGGCUCUUCCAGAAACCCCAAAGACCCCAGAGCACCCAAAACUGACCUCAGAAACUUGGAGACACAAAUGAUGGCCUGAUGGCCCUAUUUAUUUAUUUAACUGUGCAGCAUCAGAACGCUGUGACCCAAGAAGCAGUCAUCAAAGAAAGACAUGGAAUUGUUGAAUGUUUGUGAGUUGACCCAGUUUGAGUGUUUAUCUCUAUUCAAGUGCUCUAUGGUUUUAAAAAAAUAA